This 57-nucleotide transfer RNA is filed under the name Ovis aries (sheep). It matches the Rfam family "tRNA", at positions 8 to 63 of the family's 71-position model. Rfam says of the family: Transfer RNA (tRNA) molecules are approximately 80 nucleotides in length. The record is from Rfam by way of RNAcentral. Lineage: Eukaryota; Metazoa; Chordata; Mammalia; Artiodactyla; Bovidae.
UGGCUCAGAGGUUAAAGCGUCUGCCUACAAGGCAGGAGACCCAGGUUUAAUCCCUGG